RNAcentral lists this ribosomal RNA (305 nucleotides) under uncultured bacterium. RNAcentral's name for it is "bacterial SSU rRNA". It matches the Rfam family "Bacterial small subunit ribosomal RNA", at positions 337 to 640 of the family's 1533-position model. The record is from RNAcentral.
GCCUACGGGACGCAGCAGUGAGGAAUAUUGGUCAAUGGCCGGAAGGCUGAACCAGCCAAGCCGCGUGAGGGAGGAAGGCGCAGAGCGUCGCAGACCUCUUUUGCCGGGGGACAAAAGGCCGGACUCGUCCGGUCCUGAGGGUACCCGGAGAAAAAGCAUCGGCUAACUCCGUGCCAGCAGCCGCGGUAAUACGGAGGAUGCGAGCGUUAUCCGGAUUUAUUGGGUUUAAAGGGUGCGUAGGCGGGCUUUUAAGUCAGCGGUAAAAAUUCGGGGCUCAACCCCGUCCGGCCGUUGAAACUGGGGGC